UAGUCAUAUGCUUGUCUAAAGGAUUAAGCCAUGCAUGUCUAAGUAUAAACUAAUUUAUACGGUGAAACUGCGAACGGCUCAUUAUAUCAGUUAUAAUCUACUUGAUCAUAAACUCUUACUUGGAUAACCGUAGGAAAUCUAGAGCUAAUACAUGCUAAAAACCGUGAGCCUUCUCGGAGGUUAGCGGUGAAUUUAUUAGAUUAAAAAUCAAUGCGGGGCAACCCGGUUCGUUGAUGAUUCAUGAUAACUACUCUUAGCGCUUAGGUCUUGCACCGGC
Molecule: ribosomal RNA, 277 nt
Filed under: uncultured eukaryote
Lineage: Eukaryota
Description: partial 18S ribosomal RNA
Rfam family: Eukaryotic small subunit ribosomal RNA
Source: RNAcentral